Molecule: long non-coding RNA, 649 nt
Filed under: Canis lupus familiaris (dog)
Lineage: Eukaryota; Metazoa; Chordata; Mammalia; Carnivora; Canidae
Description: lncRNA (ENSCAFG00000033774.3)
Source: RNAcentral
GAAACAUUUUGAAGAUGCAUAAAGACAUGUCACGUAUGGGUGUGGAGCUCCUCUUCAUGUCCCAUGAAGCUGGGGCUGCUCACGGUGAGACAAGGAUGUUCGAAGGGUUGAUGUGAGCCAGAUCCCAUCAAGGGCAGAGCACCCCUGGGGCCUAGCAGGGGGCUGGGAGUCAGGGCAGGAGCCAGAAGCCACGGCCAGAGCUGAUGGAAACCAGGGAAGAAUGGGCAAAAUGGCAGGGAAAACCAACACCACCCCGCAUCACCCACACCAGAUUCCCCGUUACCACCAGAGGUCUACACUCUGGAAGAGAAGCGGGAUACAGACUGGCUGUCCAGGUAAGCCCAGCUAUCUGAGCUGCAGCUCAUUAGACUUUGGUUAAUUUGUUAUUAAUUCCUCAGGAGCACCGAACAAUCCAAACAAGAUGCAGAAAUCAAUGGCCAAGGAAAAGACAAAGCAACCUUCUAAGCAGAAUGUGAGUGAGGAGAGUGGCUUUAAAAAGGCCUCGACAAACUAUUUGAGGUGCAGCCUGUAAAGUGGAGAAUAAAUGCCUUUUUUACAUUGGUUCAUAUUUUUUUUUCAAGUUGGAAAGAGGAGAGGUAAUGGCCUAGGGUGAGGAGCCUGGCUGGCCUCACAAUGCCAAGCUAAUUAU